GAAAACUGCUAGGGGCGCUACGGCUGAGAUAAGGAGCUUUUCCUUUGUCCCUUGGAACCUGAUCUGGAUAAUGCCAGCGCAGGGAAGCAGUGAGGACCUCGU
Molecule: non-coding RNA, 102 nt
Filed under: Bacillus sp. (in: firmicutes)
Lineage: Bacteria; Bacillati; Bacillota; Bacilli; Caryophanales; Bacillaceae
Description: Bacillus sp. TPP sequence
Rfam family: TPP riboswitch aptamer (THI element)
About the family: Vitamin B(1) in its active form thiamin pyrophosphate (TPP) is an essential coenzyme that is synthesised by coupling of pyrimidine and thiazole moieties in bacteria.
Source: RNAcentral